GCCGCAGUGCCCAUUCUACCGCUCCUAUUCACUCGUAAUGAAUAGGUCGUCGGUUCGAUUCCGACAGGCGGCU
Molecule: transfer RNA, 73 nt
Filed under: Curtobacterium sp. MCSS17_015
Lineage: Bacteria; Bacillati; Actinomycetota; Actinomycetes; Micrococcales; Microbacteriaceae
Description: tRNA-Thr
Rfam family: tRNA
About the family: Transfer RNA (tRNA) molecules are approximately 80 nucleotides in length.
Source: RNAcentral